This 238-nucleotide ribosomal RNA is filed under the name uncultured bacterium. RNAcentral describes it as "partial 16S ribosomal RNA". It matches the Rfam family "Bacterial small subunit ribosomal RNA", at positions 118 to 351 of the family's 1533-position model. The record is from RNAcentral.
UGAGGAACAUGACCUUCGGCGGGGGAUAGCCGGCCCAACGGCCGGGUAAUACCGCGUACGACCUUUCGGGGACAUCCUCGGAUGGUGAAAGCAGCAAUGCGCCGAUGGAGUGCCUCGCGGCCUAUCAGCUAGUUGGUGAGGUAACGGCUCACCAAGGCAACGACGGGUAGCUGGUCUGAGAGGAUGGCCAGCCACAUUGGGACUGAGACACGGCCCAGACCUCCGUACGGGGAGCAGG